This 91-nucleotide small RNA is filed under the name Jaculus jaculus (lesser Egyptian jerboa). Its description in RNAcentral is "TUC338 (ENSJJAG00000002918.1)". Lineage: Eukaryota; Metazoa; Chordata; Mammalia; Rodentia; Dipodidae. The record is from RNAcentral.
CAGACGGGAACAGCACAGGCAAUGACAGUGCGAGCUUUCCCCACACAAACUCCGUGUGCAUCCACCCUGACCCGGAGGGGCCGCCUCUACA